AAAGAUUUAGUUAAUAUAUAACAUUAAAAUGUCAAUUUAAAAAAAUUUAAAAUUAAAUAAUCUUUA
This 66-nucleotide transfer RNA is filed under the name Scelio fulgidus. Its description in RNAcentral is "tRNA-Asp". The record is from RNAcentral. Lineage: Eukaryota; Metazoa; Arthropoda; Insecta; Hymenoptera; Scelionidae.